GAACAGUCAAUCCUACUUGGAUAACUGUGGUAAUUCUAGAGCUAAUACAUGCACCCAAGCCCCGACUCGGGGGGCAACUCUCGAGAAAGGGCGCUUUUAUUAGAUCAAAACCAGUCGAGAGCUUCGGCUCUCGUUAAGUUUGGUGACUCUGGACAACUUCACGCUGAUCGCACGGUCUUCGCACCGGCGACGAUUCUUUCAAAUGUCUGCCUUAUCAACUGUCGAUGGUAGGUUAUGCGCCUACCAUGGUUGCAACGGGUAACGGGGAAUCGGGGUUCGAUUCCGGAGAGGGAGCCUGAGAAACGGCUACCACAUCCAAGGAAGGCAGCAGGCGCGCAAAUUACCCACUCCCGGCACGGGGAGGUAGUGACAAAAAAUAACGAUACGGGACUCUUCCGAGGCCCCGUGAUUGGAAUGAGUACACUUUAAAUCCUUUAACGAGGACCCAUUGGAGGGCAAGUCUGGUGCCAGCAGCCGCGGUAACUCCAGCUCCAAUAGCGUAUAUUAAAGUUGUUGCGGUUAAAAAGCUCGUAGUCGGAGUUCUGUCUUCGGCCGAGGGGGGAUUCUGCCUACACGGUAUGAGUCUCGUUCCCUUUGGGUGUGCGGUGUCAAAGCCGUGCACUCUUAACGGUCGGACAAGUCCGUCGGAGUGUGGUUAUUGCUGGAAGGGCAACCGACCAAUGAGGCCACCGUAAUCGUUCGGGGUGCCUUUAAUCGGGUGUCUCGGGCGGCCGACAUAGUUUACUUUGAACAAAUUAGAGUGCUCAAAGCAGGUGACUACCGCCUGAAUAGUACAGCAUGGAAUGAUGAAAGAGGACCUCGGUCUGAUUUUGCUGGUCUUUAGCGGUCGGGCUUCGGCCCGGCCUAUGCAGACCCGAGGUAAUGGUCAAUAGAGACGGACGGGGGCAUCCGUACUGCGGCGACAGAGGUGAAAUUCUUGGACCGCCGCAAGACGAACGACAGCGAAGGCAUUUGCCAAGAAUGUUUUCCUUGAUCAAGAACGAAAGUUAGAGGUUCGAAGGCGAUCAGAUACCGCCCUAGUUCUAACCAUAAACGAUGCCAACUAGCGAUCCGCCGGUGUUACUCCCAUGACACGGCGGGCAGCUUCCGGGAAACCAAAGUCUUUGGGUUCCGGGGGAAGUAUGGUUGCAAGCUGAAACUUAAGGAAUUGACGGAAGGGCACCACCAGGAGUGGAGCCUGCGGCUUAAUUUGACCCAACACGGGAAACCUCACCAGGCCCGGACACUGGAAGGAUUGACAGAUUGAGAGCUCUUUCUUGAUUCGGUGGGUGGUGGUGCAUGGCCGUUCUUAGUUGGUGGAGCGAUUUGUCUGGUUAAUUCCGAUAACGAACGAGACUCUAGCCUGCU
Molecule: ribosomal RNA, 1368 nt
Filed under: metagenome
Description: SSU rRNA
Rfam family: Eukaryotic small subunit ribosomal RNA
Source: RNAcentral